This 1325-nucleotide ribosomal RNA is filed under the name metagenome. Its description in RNAcentral is "bacterial LSU rRNA". It matches the Rfam family "Bacterial large subunit ribosomal RNA", at positions 1561 to 2925 of the family's 2925-position model. The record is from RNAcentral.
AGUGGAUGGGGAGCAACCUAGUUGUGCGUGUGUAAAGGUAGUGCCAAGAAAAGCGGUGAUCAUGAUGAAAAUCAAUUCCCGGUACCCGAAACCGACACAGGUUGGCAAGUAGAGAAUACUAAGGGGCGCGAGGUAACUCUCUCCAAGGAACUCGGCAAAAUGACCCCGUAACUUAGGGAGAAGGGGUGCCACCGAGAGGUGGUCGCAGUGAAGAGGCCCAGGCGACUGUUUAGCAAAAACAUAGGUCUCUGCAAACUCGAAAGAGGAGGUAUAGGGGCUGACGCCUGCCCAGUGCCGGAAGGUUAAAGAAGUUGGUCAGUCUUAGGAUGAAGCUAGCGACUGAAGCCCCGGUGAACGGCGGCCGUAACUAUAACGGUCCUAAGGUAGCGAAAUUCCUUGUCGGGUAAGUUCCGACCCGCACGAAAGGCGUAACGAUCUGGGCGCUGUCUCGGAGAGAGGCUCGGCGAAAUAGGAUUGUCUGUGAAGAUACGGACUACCUGCAUUUGGACAGAAAGACCCUAUGAAGCUUUACUAUAGCUUGGAAUUGUGUUCGGGCUUCCUGUGCGCAGGAUAGGUGGGAGGCGUAGAAGGUAUUCUUGUGGGGAUACUGGAGCCAACGGUGAGAUACCACUCUCAGGAGGCUAGAAUUCUAACUUAAUUAAGGACAGUUUCAGGUGGGUAGUUUGACUGGGGCGGUCGCCUCCAAAAAGGUAACGGAGGCGUACAAAGGUUCCCUCAGACUGGUUGGAAAUCAGUCGAAGAGUGCAAAGGCAGAAGGGAGCUUGACUGCGAGAAGUACAGUUCGAGCAGGGUGGAAACACGGUCUUAGUGAUCCGACGGUGCUGUGUGGAAGGGCCGUCGCUCAACGGAUAAAAGUACUCUAAGGAUAACAGGCUGAUCUCCCCCAAGAGUUCUCAUCGACGGGGAGGUUUGGCACCUCGAUGUCGGCUCAUCGCAACCUGGGGCGGAAGUACGUCCCAAGGGUUGGGCUGUUCGCCCAUUAAAGCGGUACGUGAGCUGGGUUCAGAACGUCGUGAGACAGUUCGGUCCAUAUCCGAUGUAGGCGUGAGAAUAUUGAGAGGAGCCUUCCUUAGUACGAGAGGACCGGGAAGGACGCACCGCUGGUGUACCUGUUAUGAUGCCAAUUGUAAACGCAGGGUAGCCAAGUGCGGAGAGGAUAACCGCUGAAAGCAUCUAAGUGGGAAGCCCACCUCAAGAUGAGUAUUCUGGUGUAAGGUCACGGGAAGACGACCCGUAAAUAGGCACGAGGUGGAAGUGCAGAGAUGUAUGAAGCCGAAGUGUACUAAUAGACCGUCGGCUUGACC